GGCCCAAAUUUGGAGUAGGGUAGAUUAAAAAUAUCAUCUUACCCUAGUAAACUACUCUACUUCGAGUUUGUGCCC
RNAcentral lists this microRNA precursor (75 nucleotides) under Haemonchus placei. Its description in RNAcentral is "mir-5928 microRNA precursor family". It matches the Rfam family "mir-5928 microRNA precursor family". Lineage: Eukaryota; Metazoa; Nematoda; Chromadorea; Rhabditida; Trichostrongylidae. The record is from Rfam by way of RNAcentral.